RNAcentral lists this ribosomal RNA (468 nucleotides) under uncultured bacterium. RNAcentral's name for it is "partial 16S ribosomal RNA". It matches the Rfam family "Bacterial small subunit ribosomal RNA", at positions 28 to 507 of the family's 1533-position model. The record is from RNAcentral.
GACGAACGCUGGCGGCGUGCUUAACACAUGCAAGUCGAACGGAAAGGCCCUGCUUUUGUGGGGUGCUCGAGUGGCGAACGGGUGAGUAACACGUGAGUAACCUGCCCUUGACUUUGGGAUAACUUCAGGAAACUGGGGCUAAUACCGGAUAGGAGCUCCUGCUGCAUGGUGGGGGUUGGAAAGUUUCGGCGGUUGGGGAUGGACUCGCGGCUUAUCAGCGUGUUGGUGGGGUAGUGGCUUACCAAGGCUUUGACGGGUAGCCGGCCUGAGAGGGUGACCGGCCACAUGGGGACUGAGAUACGGCCCAGACUCCUACGGGAGGCAGCAGUGGGGAAUAUUGCACAAUGGGCGGAAGCCUGAUGCAGCAACGCCGCGUGCGGGAUGACGGCCUUCGGGUUGUAAACCGCUUUCGCCUGUGACGAAGCGUGAGUGACGGUAAUGGGUAAAGAAGCACCGGCUAACUACGUG